GUCACAUGCUUGUGCAGUCUCCACCCUGUGAAUCUAUGAUACCUCAUAAUGAAUAGAAUUUGGCAAAAGACGAACUACACAAAAAGGAUCUUAAUGACCCAGACAACCAUGAUGGUGUGGUGAGUCACGACAGCCUGACAGCCUGGAGUCAAGUCAAGUGAGACUUAGGGAUUAUUACUACAAAAAAGAUGAUGUUGUCAAGAAAGGGUUCUGACCCUAGAAACACUACUGAACAACUUGGGAGUUGGUUAUCCUGCAUUUAUUCUCUUCCUUUCCUGGAACACUUGAUAUGUUCCUAGCCACUGAAUAAGCCCAUCCCAAGAACUUUGUCUGGUUAUUUUGCAAAGCAAAAGAUUUAGGGGGCCACUGCAUGGAUGCAGUCGGGUUCCCCUGGAAAACAUUAGAAGUAAUCCUGCAUGAAAGGAAGGAUCAGCCAGUCUCCCUAAAUCAUCAAGAUCAAUGAGGGCGUCCUCUUCAAAACAUUUCAAUUUUUCUGAAUUACCCUUCUUGUGACCAAAGAAGGAUGAAUUUAGAUAAAAGGUAACUAUGAUUCUAAAGUCAAGACUG
Non-coding RNA from Odocoileus virginianus texanus, 567 nucleotides. NCBI's taxonomy places the organism in Eukaryota, Metazoa, Chordata, Mammalia, Artiodactyla, Cervidae. The record is from RefSeq and is a predicted model, not a curated record.